RNAcentral lists this ribosomal RNA (524 nucleotides) under uncultured bacterium. Its description in RNAcentral is "bacterial SSU rRNA". It matches the Rfam family "Bacterial small subunit ribosomal RNA", at positions 8 to 523 of the family's 1533-position model. The record is from RNAcentral.
AGAGUUUGAUCCUGGCUCAGAUUGAACGCUGGCGGCAUGCCUUACACAUGCAAGUCGAACGGCAGCACGGGAGCAAUCCUGGUGGCGAGUGGCGAACGGGUGAGUAAUAUAUCGGAACGUGCCCAGUCGUGGGGGAUAACGCAGCGAAAGCUGUGCUAAUACCGCAUACGAUCUCUGGAUGAAAGCGGGGGACUCAGCAAUGGGCCUCGCGCGAUUGGAGCGGCCGAUGUCAGAUUAGCUAGUUGGUGGGGUAAAAGCUCACCAAGGCGACGAUCUGUAGCUGGUCUGAGAGGACGACCAGCCACACUGGAACUGAGACACGGUCCAGACUCCUACGGGAGGCAGCAGUGGGGAAUUUUGGACAAUGGGCGCAAGCCUGAUCCAGCAAUGCCGCGUGCAGGAUGAAGGCCUUCGGGUUGUAAACUGCUUUUGUACGGAACGAAACGGUCCUUUCUAAUACAAGGGGCUAAUGACGGUACCGUAAGAAUAAGCACCGGCUAACUACGUGCCAGCAGCCGCGGUAA